This is a long non-coding RNA of Alexandromys fortis (reed vole), 1100 nucleotides long. RefSeq lists it as uncharacterized. Lineage: Eukaryota; Metazoa; Chordata; Mammalia; Rodentia; Cricetidae. The record is from RefSeq and is a predicted model, not a curated record. The transcript is spliced from 4 exons.
CCUAAGUACGCAUGCGCAGAGCUCCGGUUGGUGCUUGCUGAGUUCUGCACGGACCAGGGCGCUGCACAGCUUCAGAGCCUGAGAAAUCAGCCUCGCCACGAAGCCUGGAGCCUCGAGAGCCAGGGAGUGGGAAUUUGCCAUGCCAAUCCCCCAGCACUGGGAAAUGCAGAAUGAGAAACCAACCUCAGGACUGAGCACACCUAGGAAGACCCAUGAGCAGGCCUGGUGAGGUGGUUCACUUUGUUCCGGAAGUCCUUAUUCCACAUGUGAUGCUCUGGACCCUGAUUCAGGGGGGAUGGGCUUGGUCCUCCCUCAAUUUGUUAUUACAAGCACUAGUGGCUUCCCAGGGGAGGCCUUAUACCCUCUCGGGAAUGGAUGGGAAUGGGGGUUCUGGUCCUAUCACUAUGUUGCUGCAUUUCUUCUGAAUCAAAGUGAAUGGAUGACUCCAGGCUAAUGUGAAGUAAAGUGACAGAAUCUCAUUCAUAUGAGUCUGAUCUGACAUCCUAAGGUCUGGUCAUACAUCAUCUUAUCACGGACACAACCUGAGAGAAGAAACCACCUCCCUAGGCAUGUGAUAACCCUACAAAUCUCCAGAAGGGAAUAUGCUUAAUUUACACAUCUUACAUGGCUUUUCCUUGAGAUUCAGAUCAUCAGCUGAAACAGGAUCUGACAUUUAUGAAUAAAAAUUAAAAUAGAAUAGGUCUUGUAUAUGCUAAAGGAUUCCAUAAUUUGUUGGUUAUUCCUUUACCCCAUGUUACUGGGGAUGGAACCCAGGGCAUCAGGCAUACUGAGCACAUACUCAUACCCCAGAGACCACCUCAGUUCUUCCUUUAUUAUCUUAACUACCUGGAAAGUACAUAGUAUCGGUAUCCCCAGAUAUUAGAAAAGGGGGGCAGGAUAGUCUGCAACAUCAAAGACAGUAAGUGACCAGGUUGCAAAUAUGAGAAACUUAUUUCCACUGCCCACUGAUUCCUAGAUACACAGUUAUUGUGGAUUUCUAGGAAGGUACGUGAUGAGGCUGAACAUCCAUGAGGCUCAGAAAGGAAGAUAAACUUUAUCAGCUCUAUGUCCUGACUGGGAACGUGGCCGCAAUUUCUUCU